Molecule: long non-coding RNA, 376 nt
Filed under: Salvia miltiorrhiza (redroot sage)
Lineage: Eukaryota; Viridiplantae; Streptophyta; Magnoliopsida; Lamiales; Lamiaceae
Description: long non-coding RNA (SMIL_LNC004447)
Source: RNAcentral
UUGGUGUAUCUUCCCCAAAGGUAAAACGACUUCGUCUCGGCGGAUGUAGCACCACAAUCCGGCGAGCUCCGGCGAACUGAAUAAGGAUCGAAAACUGAGCUAGAGGUGGAAUGCAGAAUGCAGACUAUUUUGUGAGUUGUGAGUUGUGAGUUUUCAGAGUGAAUUCUAAAGCUCACCACACACCCAUAUUUAUAGGUGUUAAACCGAGUGUGAACGGAUCGGCAGUCAACUCCGGCGGCUGCGGUAGGUGGCCGCAAUCGUUGAACGCAGAAGUUGAAACAGUCAAUUCCGGCGGCUGCGGUAGGUGGCCGCAAUCGUUGAACGCAGAAGUUGAAACUGAUUUUCCCUCUUCAACAUCCAAACUUUGACAUACAAU